AGUGAACGCUGGCGGUAGGCCUAACACAUGCAAGUCGAACGGCAGCACAGUAAGAGCUUGCUCUUACGGGUGGCGAGUGGCGGACGGGUGAGGAAUACAUCGGAAUCUACUUUUUCGUGGGGGAUAACGUAGGGAAACUUACGCUAAUACCGCAUACGACCUACGGGUGAAAGCAGGGGAUCUUCGGACCUUGCGCGAUUGAAUGAGCCGAUGUCGGAUUAGCUAGUAGGCGGGGUAAAGGCCCACCAAGGCGACGAUCCGUAGCUGGUCUGAGAGGAUGAUCAGCCACACUGGAACUGAGACACGGUCCAGACUCCUACGGGAGGCAGCAGUGGGGAAUAUUGGACAAAGGGCGCAAGCCUGAUCCAGCCAUACCGCGUGGGUGAAGAAGGCCUUCGGGUUGUAAAGCCCUUUUGUUGGGAAAGAAAAGCAGCAGGUUAAUACCCCGCUGUUCUGACGGUACCCAAAGAAUAAGCACCGGCUAACUUCGUG
This 492-nucleotide ribosomal RNA is filed under the name uncultured bacterium. Its description in RNAcentral is "partial 16S ribosomal RNA". It matches the Rfam family "Bacterial small subunit ribosomal RNA", at positions 29 to 507 of the family's 1533-position model. The record is from RNAcentral.